Molecule: ribosomal RNA, 466 nt
Filed under: uncultured bacterium
Lineage: Bacteria
Description: partial 16S ribosomal RNA
Rfam family: Bacterial small subunit ribosomal RNA
Source: RNAcentral
GACGAACGCUGGCGGCGUGCUUAACACAUGCAAGUCGAACGGAAAGGCCCUGCUUGCAGGGUACUCGAGUGGCGAACGGGUGAGUAACACGUGGGUGAUCUGCCCUGCACUUCGGGAUAAGCUUGGGAAACUGGGUCUAAUACCGGAUAGGAGCCAUCUUUAGUGUGGUGGUUGGAAAGUUUUUUCGGUGUAGGAUGAGCUCGCGGCCUAUCAGCUUGUUGGUGGGGUAAUGGCCUACCAAGGCGGCUACGGGUAGCCGGCCUGAGAGGGUGUACGGCCACAUUGGGACUGAGAUACGGCCCAGACUCCUACGGGAGGCAGCAGUGGGGAAUAUUGCACAAUGGGCGCAAGCCUGAUGCAGCGACGCCGCGUGGGGGAUGAAGGCCUUCGGGUUGUAAACUCCUUUCGCUAGGGACGAAGCUUUUUUGUGACGGUACCUAGAUAAGAAGCACCGGCUAACUACGUG